UGUAAAGUAAUCAAAUGGAUAAGAUCCAUCCCUAUAAAGGAUGAAAUGCUGGUUCGAAUCCAGCCUUCACAGA
This 73-nucleotide transfer RNA is filed under the name Caudoviricetes sp. RNAcentral's name for it is "tRNA-Tyr". It matches the Rfam family "tRNA". From Rfam's summary of the family: Transfer RNA (tRNA) molecules are approximately 80 nucleotides in length. Their secondary structure includes four short double-helical elements and three loops (D, anti-codon, and T loops). Further hydrogen bonds mediate the characteristic L-shaped molecular structure. tRNAs have two regions of fundamental functional importance: the anti-codon, which is responsible for specific mRNA codon recognition, and the 3' end, to which the tRNAs corresponding amino acid is attached (by aminoacyl-tRNA synthetases). tRNAs cope with the degeneracy of the genetic code in two manners: having more than one tRNA (with a specific anti-codon) for a particular amino acid; and 'wobble' base-pairing, i.e. permitting non-standard base-pairing at the 3rd anti-codon position. Lineage: Duplodnaviria; Heunggongvirae; Uroviricota; Caudoviricetes. The record is from RNAcentral.